Molecule: transfer RNA, 73 nt
Filed under: Ailuropoda melanoleuca (giant panda)
Lineage: Eukaryota; Metazoa; Chordata; Mammalia; Carnivora; Ursidae
Rfam family: tRNA
About the family: Transfer RNA (tRNA) molecules are approximately 80 nucleotides in length. Their secondary structure includes four short double-helical elements and three loops (D, anti-codon, and T loops).
Source: Rfam by way of RNAcentral
ACUUGGCUGGCUCAGUCAGUAGAACAUGGGACUCUGGAUCUCAGGGUUGUGAGUUCCAGCCCCACGGCAGGUA